GACGAACGCCGGCGGCGUGCUUAACACAUGCAAGUCGAACGGUGAAAGCGGAGCUUGCUCCGCUGGAUCAGUGGCGAACGGGUGAGUAACACGUGGGCAACCUGCCCCUCACUUCGGGAUAACUCCGGGAAACCGGGGCUAAUACCGGAUAUGACCUCCUUGGGCAUCCUUGGAGGUGGAAAGUUUUUCGGUGAGGGAUGGGCCCGCGGCCUAUCAGCUUGUUGGUGAGGUAGUGGCUCACCAAGGCGACGACGGGUAGCCGGACUGAGAGGGCGACCGGCCACACUGGGACUGAGAUACGGCCCAGACUCCUACGGGAGGCAGCAGUGGGGAAUAUUGCACAAUGGGCGCAAGCCUGAUGCAGCGACGCCGCGUGAGGGAUGACGGCCUUCGGGUUGUAAACCUCUUUCAGCACCGACGAAGCGCAAGUGACGGUAGGUGCAGAAGAAGGACCGGCCAACUACGUGCCAGCAGCCGCUGUAA
RNAcentral lists this ribosomal RNA (483 nucleotides) under uncultured bacterium. RNAcentral describes it as "partial 16S ribosomal RNA". It matches the Rfam family "Bacterial small subunit ribosomal RNA", at positions 28 to 523 of the family's 1533-position model. The record is from RNAcentral.